Molecule: ribosomal RNA, 550 nt
Filed under: uncultured bacterium
Lineage: Bacteria
Description: bacterial SSU rRNA
Rfam family: Bacterial small subunit ribosomal RNA
Source: RNAcentral
UAGGGAAUCUUCGGCAAUGGGGGGAACCCUGACCGAGCAACGCCGCGUGAGUGAAGAAGGUUUUCGGAUCGUAAAGCUCUGUUGUUAAGGAAGAACGAGUGUGAGAAUGGAAAGUUCAUACUGUGACGGUACUUAACCAGAAAGGGACGGCUAACUACGUGCCAGCAGCCGCGGUAAUACGUAGGUCCCGAGCGUUGUCCGGAUUUAUUGGGCGUAAAGCGAGCGCAGGCGGUUAGAUAAGUCUGAAGUUAAAGGCAGUGGCUCAACCAUUGUAGGCUUUGGAAACUGUUUAACUUGAGUGCAGAAGGGGAGAGUGGAAUUCCAUGUGUAGCGGUGAAAUGCGUAGAUAUAUGGAGGAACACCGGUGGCGAAAGCGGCCCUCUGGUCUGUAACUGACGCUGAGGCUCGAAAGCGUGGGGAGCGAACAGGAUUAGAUACCCUGGUAGUCCACGCCGUAAACGAUGAGUGCUAGGUGUUAGGUCCUUUCCGGGACUUAGUGCCGCAGCUAACGCAUUAAGCACUCCGCCUGGGGAGUACGACCGCAAGGUUG